This 74-nucleotide transfer RNA is filed under the name Phycisphaerae bacterium. Its description in RNAcentral is "tRNA-Pro". It matches the Rfam family "tRNA". Rfam says of the family: Transfer RNA (tRNA) molecules are approximately 80 nucleotides in length. Their secondary structure includes four short double-helical elements and three loops (D, anti-codon, and T loops). Lineage: Bacteria; Pseudomonadati; Planctomycetota; Phycisphaerae. The record is from RNAcentral.
CGGGGUGUAGCUCAGCUUGGUAGAGCGCUUCGUUCGGGGCGAAGAGGUCGCAGGUUCGAAUCCUGUCACCCCGA